RNAcentral lists this long non-coding RNA (237 nucleotides) under Ananas comosus (pineapple). RNAcentral's name for it is "long non-coding RNA (ACOM_LNC007877)". Lineage: Eukaryota; Viridiplantae; Streptophyta; Magnoliopsida; Poales; Bromeliaceae. The record is from RNAcentral.
AAAUGAAAAGCUAAUACUAAUAGGUGGUGAUUGUGAACUUUACGGUGCACUUGGUUUAUACGAUAAUUUCUUAAAAGAGAAUUGUGUGGCGUACGUUGAGAAAUGCUUUGAGAAAAGUUUGUGCGUGUGACAAGGCCCGGGAAAGCUAAAACCACUAUGAAAGAGAAAAAAAAUACAUCUUUAAUAUUUGUACCAAUCUCAAAUUAAUUUUAUUGUGCUAUAUAAGAAAACAAAGAG